RNAcentral lists this ribosomal RNA (486 nucleotides) under uncultured bacterium. RNAcentral describes it as "partial 16S ribosomal RNA". It matches the Rfam family "Bacterial small subunit ribosomal RNA", at positions 28 to 507 of the family's 1533-position model. The record is from RNAcentral.
GAUGAACGCUAGCGGCAGGCUUAAUACAUGCAAGUCGAGGGGCAGCAUGAAGUAGCAAUCCUUUGAUGGCGACCGGCACACGGGUGCGGAACACGUACACAACCUUCCUUUAAGUGGGGAAUAGCCCAGAGAAAUUUGGAUUAAUACCCCGUAACACAACGAAGUGGCAUCACUUUGUUGUUAUAGUUUCGGCGCUUAAUGAUGGGUGUGCGUAUGAUUAGAUAGUUGGCGAGGUAACGGCUCACCAAGUCUACGAUCAUUAGCUGAUGUGAGAGCAUGAUCAGCCACACGGGCACUGAGACACGGGCCCGACUCCUACGGGAGGCAGCAGUAAGGAAUAUUGGUCAAUGGACGCAAGUCUGAACCAGCCAUGCCGCGUGAAGGAUUAAGGUCCUCUGGAUUGUAAACUUCUUUUAUAUGGGACGAAAAAAGGUCUUUCUAGACCCCUUGACGGUACCAUAUGAAUAAGCACCGGCUAACUCCGUG